RNAcentral lists this ribosomal RNA (118 nucleotides) under Diaphorina citri (Asian citrus psyllid). The record is from RNAcentral. Lineage: Eukaryota; Metazoa; Arthropoda; Insecta; Hemiptera; Psyllidae.
GUCAGAGGCGAUUGUCAGGUUUAUGCACAAGUUUCCAAUGGAUCACUGAAGGUAAGCAACGUUGUGCGAGGUUAAUAUCCAUAUGGGUGACCAUCUGAGCAAUCGCGUGCUGCCGGCU